GCCGGGAUUCCCUAGCCUGGUAAGGGGCAGGCCUGGAGAGCCUGUGGCCCGUUUGGGCCUCGUGGGUUCGAAUCCCACUCCCGGCG
This 86-nucleotide transfer RNA is filed under the name Nitrososphaerales archaeon. RNAcentral describes it as "tRNA-Ser". It matches the Rfam family "tRNA". Rfam says of the family: Transfer RNA (tRNA) molecules are approximately 80 nucleotides in length. Their secondary structure includes four short double-helical elements and three loops (D, anti-codon, and T loops). Lineage: Archaea; Thermoproteati; Nitrososphaerota; Nitrososphaeria; Nitrososphaerales. The record is from RNAcentral.